This 1521-nucleotide long non-coding RNA is filed under the name Chinchilla lanigera (long-tailed chinchilla). RNAcentral describes it as "lncRNA (ENSCLAG00000024576.1)". Lineage: Eukaryota; Metazoa; Chordata; Mammalia; Rodentia; Chinchillidae. The record is from RNAcentral.
AAGCAACACACAAACAAAGGCUCACCCACCUUGGAACCCUGGCCGGCAACUCUGAGCUUACAGAGCGGCUUUGUAUUCCGCUUGAAAUCUGCCUCUGUCUCAACCCUUUUUUGUCCUGUACACGUCUCUGAAUCUGUUGAUAAAAUGUUGUGUUUAAUUGUGGUGCAUUACUUUCCCCAGGUAGAAAUUCAAUCCAUCACGCAAGAUUCUGCAAUUAUAAUGAGGCAAACCACACAAGAAAUUGCACGAUCUCUCCUUGAGCACUCAUUUCCAAAUAAUGAGCAACACCUACUGAAACAUCACAGCAAAACUCUGAGCUAACCAUAGUACGUCAACACCUUAUUCCUUCACCAUCGAACACUUGGGAGUAGAUGAGAAAAUAAAAACAAGCAGACUUCAGAGACUUGGCCAAGAUCUGACAUUGAGAAAGUUAAUUGGACCAGCACCUCUAAAAUUCAUGUUGUGCAUUGCUAGUUUGGGUCUCCUGUUUAGGCUGGAAAGCAGAAGGCUUUUGGAGAAGCCCAUUACUCAAGUUACUGCCGAUUCCUACUAACGCCUCCUCUGCCAAGUAAGGGUAAGUGUGGUUCAAGAUAAAAAAUGGUGUAGCUUUGUUUCAAAGUGCACCUUGUCACACCAAGCACUCAAUUUCCCUAAGCUUAUUUUCUCCAACAUAAAAAUGGCAAAUAACAACUCGCAUGCACAAUUAACUACGCCAUGACAGUAAAGAAAUAGCACUUUGUGCACCAUAGUGUAAGUGACUGCCUGGGUGUGACCGUUGCCUGAUCAAAAUACAAGGGCCACAUACCACUGAGAAGGUGCGUAUUUCUUAAGGCUGAACCUUAAGAUUAAAAAGAGACACAUUCCACUUCAUUACCCAAGAAUGGAAGAAGGACAAUCUACAUGGGGGAAAGGAUCAGAAAUAUCCCACUCUGGGAGAAAGGGGACCCGCCACACGAGCUCCGGGACUCUCCACAACCUGUCUCUCUCAACAGCGGCCCUCCCUUGCUAGCCCUUUAUCUUUAAAUGGAUGAAUUUAGCUUCCCGUUUUUCCUCUGUGGUGUGAGGGACUCGGUUAUCUACCUCCUGGGUCAAAUGAGCUAUUGGCUGUAAAAGGCUAAGCCUAAAAGCUGGGCCCAGAAUAUGCUCUGCACAAAUGCUGGCUAUUACAUUAUUCUUCCCAGGUUGCCCUUGGAGUGAUUCCUCUAUGGUUCAUUUACUUUAGCCUGUAGAUGAACAAAUACAAGCAAGCAACUCCCAGAGCACUCCCACAGAAAUUGCUUUGAAUGAAAUCCGUACACUUGCGAUAAAAAAGUUUGGCGAAAGAAUAGAUUUUGUGGUAAAAACAAUAACUACAUCGUAAAUCUGUUUUUAUAAUAAGUAAUAAAACUUUGGGAUUUGGGAUCCAGCCAAGAUUGAUGCCUCUCUAUCCCAGCUGCCCAUAAAAUCAUUUGGAGAGACUUAAAAAUACAAGGUACCAGCUCAGCUGAAAACUGAUACAUAAGGAAGACAGUUGUCCCAUCU